Molecule: transfer RNA, 73 nt
Filed under: Felis catus (domestic cat)
Lineage: Eukaryota; Metazoa; Chordata; Mammalia; Carnivora; Felidae
Also listed under: 3 other names
Rfam family: tRNA
About the family: Transfer RNA (tRNA) molecules are approximately 80 nucleotides in length.
Source: Rfam by way of RNAcentral
CCUUGGCUGGCUCAGUCAGUUGAGCAUAUGACUUUUAAUCUUGAAGUUGUGAGUUUGAGCCCCACGUUAGGCA